UUGGAGGGCAAGUCUGGUGCCAGCAGCCGCAGUAAUUCCAGCUCCAAUAGCGUAUAUUAAAGUUGUUGCAGUUAAAAAGCUCGUAGUUGAACUUCGAGAUUUGUCCUAUGGUCGGGCUUUACGGUCCGUACAGUAGUGGCGAAUUUCUACCUUCUGAAGAACCUUCAUGUCAUUAAUUUGGUGAGUUGGGAAAUCAGGACUGUUACUUUGAAAAAAUUAGAGUGUUUAAAGCAGGCUUACGUCUGAAUAUAUUAGCAUGGAAUAAUGAAAUAGGACGGAUCGGUUCUAUUUUGUUGGUUUCUAGGAUCACCGUAAUGAUUAAUAGGGAUAGUUGGGGGCAUUAGUAUUCAAUUGUCAGAGGUGAAAUUCUUGGAUUUAUUGAAGACUAACUUCUGCGAAAGCAUUUGCCAAGGAUGUUUUCAUUAAUCAAGAACGAAAGUUAGGGGAUCGAAGACGAUCAGAUACCGUCGUAGUCUUAACCAUAAACUAUGCCGACUAGGGAUCGGACGAAGUUAAUUUUUAGAUGACUCGUUCGGCGCCUUACGGGAAAC
RNAcentral lists this ribosomal RNA (551 nucleotides) under uncultured Glomus. RNAcentral describes it as "SSU rRNA". It matches the Rfam family "Eukaryotic small subunit ribosomal RNA", at positions 548 to 1098 of the family's 1831-position model. The record is from RNAcentral. Lineage: Eukaryota; Fungi; Glomeromycota; Glomeromycetes; Glomerales; Glomeraceae.